This is a long non-coding RNA of Aedes albopictus (Asian tiger mosquito), 1913 nucleotides long. RefSeq lists it as uncharacterized. The transcript is spliced from 3 exons. Lineage: Eukaryota; Metazoa; Arthropoda; Insecta; Diptera; Culicidae. The record is from RefSeq and is a predicted model, not a curated record.
GCAUUCGAUGAUCUACUUCCAUUGGGACACCUUAUCACUUUCUUGGAUAUUGUCGGCGUUCAACACUGUUUGCUUGUCAUAUGCACGCAUCCAGUGCGAUCUCCUCGGUGGCUAAACUUUCCACGUGUUAAAGUGUCUGUUGCAUCAUUCUUUCCACCUGUUAAUUUCAACAUGGGGAAUUAUGCAAAGUAUUGACAAUUUAAACUUUUCGUUCAUUGCACAUGUUACUCUAUCAAAACCGCCGAAAUAUCUACAUUCUACAUAUGUUCAUUUUAACGGAAGAGUUAAAAUAUCAUUUCGAUCGAGCAACUGUCAAAAUCAAUCAGCUGUUGGCGUUGGCAUUAGUUUCCUCACAAUAUCCGUCACUCGUCGGCAUUCCCAGAGCGCGAAACAAAGCCAAUCUGGUUCGAAGAAGAAAAGAAUUAUAAUAACGAUGACGACGACGCGCUAGCCGGUCUCUGCAGAUAGUAGCAUAUUUUAAAGUUCAAAUUCAAAACUUCAAAUCCGCAAAUCCGGGGUGAAGUUGAUCAAUUAUCGACAAAGUGUUCCAAACUGACUGACUAAUAAUAAUUGUGACAGUGUGACCCAUAAUUGUUCAAUGACUGUAAUUGGUAUGCUAAACUUUAUGAUGGUGAUUCCGAAUUAGAUUGAAAGUAUCUAACAACUGAUGAAUUCAUUUGAAUAUGAAGAAAUACAGUUAAGAAGUUAAAUUGGCUUUUUAAGCAAUGUUGAGAUAAUUCCAUAUUCUGAAGCUGCACGCCAAACUGAGCCGAAAUCCAAAUUUUCAUGAAUUUUGGAGCCCGGGAACCUAUUUAAAAAUCAAUUUGAAGUUUGUAUGGGAGCGAUUUGUCGAAUCACCCCUCGUCGGAUUUUGUACUGGGCGGAGCUGUCAAGCAGUUGCCGAGCUGUCAAAAGGUGUUUUGAAUAAAUCUUUUUGAAAUUGAUUUUAGGUAUCAAAACAAAGUUUUAAAAAUCUGAAAAAAAUCAUAGAGGCUUAGUAAAAGGUGCUUUUUCGUUUAAAAAUAUAAAAUCAUUGAAUUUUUCUAAAUUUAAAAACUCAAUUGUCCCGAGAUUCUGGAUACUACUUUAGGUAUUUCUUUAAUAGGUACUCCCAGAGUUCUUGCUGGGUAUUUUCACGAGUUUUCCUCAGAAUGCCUCAUGGGAUAACUUACGAAAUUCCUUAGAAGAGAUUCCCGGAGAAAUAUUCGAAGGAAUCCAAGUACACCUCGUCCUUUUUUUACGUCCAUGCAUGGCUAAGCGACAAAUAAUUCUACCGCCAAGACAAUGAGCAAAUUCAACAUUUUUAUAUUUUUUAAAUAUCUCCGUGAUUAGGAGAAGUGUACAAAAAUAUAAAAAUGUAUAUUUUAAUUAUUAUUUUGGCAGUAGAAUUUUAUUUCGCUAAGCCAAUAGUGGACGUAAAACGAGGUUUAGGUGUAUAAUCUUGAGAGAAACUCCAUAAAGUCUUAUUGAAGAAAACUCGACAGGAAGAACUUUGUAAGAGUAAUCCCGAGAGGAUAUGUUAAGGAUAUCCAAGGUGGAACUCUGAAAACUUCACGGAAUCCUGGGAGCAGCUACGGGUGAAAUUCCGUGAGGAAAUCCAAGAGAAAUAUCGGAAAACUAUCGGCAAAAAUCCCGAGAUAAACUGUCGUAAAGAAAUCCCGUAAAUCAUAACCCUAGUAAGAUGUUGGAGUCAAUAAUGUCCCAAGCAGGCACGCUGGGCAUGCUUACAGCCAGCGUGGUACGCCAAUCCCAAGAGCCUAGGAGGGUCAAAUGACAUUCGUUAAGAAACUUGGAAUAAUUUUGGAUGGAUCUUCAGGAGCAAUUCAGCGAGAAACUUUGGAAGCAUAUCGGAAAGCCUCUGGAAGAAGUAUCGGUAGGUAGGCACUCUCGUGAAAUCCAAGAUGAAACUCUUU